GGUUACUGAGCCCUUCCUCUAGUGCCAAACUGUUGCAUCAAGACUCCAGAGGAUAUUUAUAUGAACAAGGAUAGAGGACGGUUCAAGCAUCAGGAUGCCAACAAGGACCUACAAAAGUAGUCCACACUCAUCAGGAGUUCUUUGAUGGGGGACCCUUCGAUGAUUAAGUAAGCUAGAGCUUGGGAAUAGUAAAAAAAGAGAGGAAGAAGGGUGGAAGCACAAAGGGCAUUUUCA
This 234-nucleotide long non-coding RNA is filed under the name Elaeis guineensis (African oil palm). Its description in RNAcentral is "long non-coding RNA (EGUI_LNC060028)". The record is from RNAcentral. Lineage: Eukaryota; Viridiplantae; Streptophyta; Magnoliopsida; Arecales; Arecaceae.